RNAcentral lists this ribosomal RNA (405 nucleotides) under uncultured bacterium. Its description in RNAcentral is "partial 16S ribosomal RNA". It matches the Rfam family "Bacterial small subunit ribosomal RNA", at positions 30 to 526 of the family's 1533-position model. The record is from RNAcentral.
AUUGAACGCUGGCGGCAGGCCUAACACAUGCAAGUCGAACGAGUGGCGGACGGGUGAGUAAUGUCUGGGAAACUGCCUGAUGGAGGGGGAUAACUACUGGAAACGGUAGCUAAUACCGCAUACCAUCGGAUGUGCCCAGCUGGGAUUAGUUAGUAGGUGGGGUAAAGGCUCACCGAGGCGGAGAUCCCUAGCUGGUCUGAGAGGAUGACCACCCACCUGUGAAUGGGGCCAGGGUCCAGACCCCUCCGGGAGGCAGCAGUGGGGAUCAUUGCACAAUGGGCGCAAGCCGGAUGCAGCCAGCCCGCGUGUAUGAAGAAGGCCUUCGGGUUGUAAAGUACUUUCAGCGGGGAGGCGUUACCCGCAGAAGAAGCCCCGGCUAACUCCGUGCCAGCCGCCGCGUAAUAC